RNAcentral lists this ribosomal RNA (463 nucleotides) under uncultured Pseudomonadota bacterium. Its description in RNAcentral is "bacterial SSU rRNA". It matches the Rfam family "Bacterial small subunit ribosomal RNA", at positions 29 to 505 of the family's 1533-position model. Lineage: Bacteria; Pseudomonadati; Pseudomonadota. The record is from RNAcentral.
AGCGAACGUUGGUGGCGUGCUUAACACAUGCAAGUCGAACGCGAAAGAAGACUUCGGUCUUCGAGUAGAGUGGCGCACGGGUGAGUAACACGUGAGUAACAUACCUUUAGAUGGGGAAUAACUACUUGAAAAGGUAGCUAAUACCGCAUAGGACCACGGUGACUUAUGUCACAGUGGUGAAAGCUUUAUGCGUCUAAAGAUUGGCUCGCGGUCUAUUAGGUAGUUGGUGGGGUAAUGGCCUACCAAGCCCGAGAUAGAUAGCUGGUCUGAGAGGAUGAUCAGCCACACUGGAACUGAGACACGGUCCAGACUCCUGCGGGAGGCAGCAGUGGGGAAUAUUGCGCAAUGGGCGAAAGCCUGACGCAGCAACGCCACGUGUGUGAUUAAGGCCUUCGGGUCGUAAAGCACUGUUAGGAGGGAAGAAUUUUGACGGUACCUCCAGAGAAAGCACCGGCUAACUCCG